This 253-nucleotide ribosomal RNA is filed under the name uncultured bacterium. RNAcentral's name for it is "partial 16S ribosomal RNA". It matches the Rfam family "Bacterial small subunit ribosomal RNA", at positions 524 to 776 of the family's 1533-position model. The record is from RNAcentral.
UACGUAGGGUGCAAGCGUUGUCCGGAAUUAUUGGGCGUAAAGGGCUCGUAGGCGGUCCGUCACGUCGGGAGUGAAAUCCUGGGGCUUAACCCCAGAACUGCUUCCGAUACGGGCAGACUAGAGGUAGGUAGGGGAGAAUGGAAUUCCUGGUGUAGCGGUGGAAUGCGCAGAUAUCAGGAGGAACACCGAUGGCGAAGGCAGGUCUCUGGGCCACUACUGACGCUGAGAAGCGAAAGCAUGGGGAGCGAACAGG